This 227-nucleotide ribosomal RNA is filed under the name uncultured bacterium. RNAcentral describes it as "partial 16S ribosomal RNA". It matches the Rfam family "Bacterial small subunit ribosomal RNA", at positions 109 to 334 of the family's 1533-position model. The record is from RNAcentral.
AGUAACGCGUGGGGAACCGUACCCUAUACAGGGGGAGUAACAGCUGGAAACGGCUGCUAAUACCGCAUAAGCGCACAGAAUCGCAUGAUUCAGUGUGAAAAGCCCUGGCAGUAUAGGAUGGUCCCGCGUCUGAUUAGCUGGUUGGUGAGGUAACGGCUCACCAAGGCGACGACCAGUAGCCGGCUUGAGAGAGUGAACGGCCACAUUGGGACUGAGACACGGCCCAA